This is a long non-coding RNA of Gadus morhua (Atlantic cod), 1078 nucleotides long. NCBI's taxonomy places the organism in Eukaryota, Metazoa, Chordata, Actinopteri, Gadiformes, Gadidae. The record is from Ensembl.
GGGUAAACGGAAAUGGUCACGUGACGGGACGGAGGGGUUGUUGGCGCUCCGUCAAACCGCUGCUUUCAGUGUAUGUCUUUCUUUAUAGGUCAAUGUGCGUCGAUAGCGUGGUAAAAUUGUAAAAAUUGACAGUGAAUGUCCAGGACCCGCAUAUACGUUUAAUUUCGUUAAACACAGGGGUUCAAAUCACUUUUCCAUCCGGUGACCUGUGUGGAGGUGCCUUUUACCCAGGACAGCAACUAUUUUGUGGACAGCCUAGUUUGAAAAAACAACUACAAACAACGGAUUCUGAAUUACGAGGAAAACCACUCGACAGAACAGAACAGAUUUUCCACAUCGCAGUUUGUUGCCAAGGGAAUGCUACACGCCACCUCUGUGGCUGCCCGACAACCAUUGAAUUGGGCUCUUCCAGACAAAGGACACCGGGCGGGGAUGGUGAAGCAGACAACAAUGCAUGACAAUGGUGCCCCAGUUUUCCAUGCCGGACUACUAUCCCUGAGUGUGUGUGCGGUGAUGGCCUGUUCAACCUGUAAACAUUGAUUUCCUCAACGUGCGACUGGUGUGCGGCCUCACCCGGCCCCAGGAUCCAAUCAUUCCGACGGGGGCCAAGCAAGGCUGCCUAAACCAGCCAUCAUCCACACACACUCCCUGACAUUUGCUAGGCUUGUAAUGCUGCUGUCUUUUACUGCAAGGCAAUACAUCUCCCUCAAGGCACUUUAAUGUUCAGCAGGGAGAAGCUAGAUGAAAGCUAGUUAGGUAGCUAAUGUAUGACAGACAGAAAGACGAGUGGGCAUUAUAAGUUGCUCUCCUGCUGAAUAACUCAUUGAUCUGAUCUGAAGUGGUCCCUGAUCCUAAUGUGAGAUGGCAUCCUAUUCCCUGCUGGGAGUCCCGUGCUUGACCUUUUGCUCUCAGAGGCUUUAACGAAGCGCCAGGGGAUUUUUUAAGUCAUUAUUUUAUCUCCUAUCUCCGGCCUCAUUAACCUUACAGUAAAUGUAAAUCCACCCUAUUCUGACUAACCAAGGAGAUAAUAGAGAAAAGGGAAGCUACGGGUGGAUCGGGGGGGGGGGGUCUGGCUGAU